ACAACAGGUGGAGCCUGCGGUUUAAUCGGACUCAACGCCGGGAAACUCACCAGAUAAGACAGCUGAAUGAUAGUCGGGCUGAAGACUCUACUUGACUAGCUGAGAGGAGGUGCAUGGCCGUCGUCAGUUCGUACUGUGAAGCAUCCUGUUAAGUCAGGCAACGAGCGAGACCCACGCCAACAGUUGCCAGCUCGUCCUCCGGGAUGGUGGGGACACUGUUGGGACCGCCUCUGCUAAAGAGGAGGAAGGAAUGGGCAACGGUAGGUCAGCAUGCCCCGAAUUAUCUGGGCUACACGCGGGCUACAAUGGGUGGGACAAUGGGUAUCGACACCGAAAGGUGAAGGCAGUCUCCUAAACCCAUCCGUAGUUCGGAUUGUGGGCUGCAACUCGCCCACAUGAAGCUGGAAUCUGUAGCAAUCGUGUCUCAAAAUGGCACGGUGAAUAUGUCCCUGCUCCUU
Molecule: ribosomal RNA, 458 nt
Filed under: uncultured Methanomicrobiales archaeon
Lineage: Archaea; Methanobacteriati; Methanobacteriota; Methanomicrobia; Methanomicrobiales
Description: bacterial SSU rRNA
Rfam family: Archaeal small subunit ribosomal RNA
Source: RNAcentral